GAUGAAGAACGUAGCGAAAUGCGAAAAGUAAUGUGAAUUGCAGAAUUCAGUGAAUCAUCGAAUCUUUGAACGCACAUUGCGCCCGCUGGUAUUCCGGCGGGCAUGCCUGUUCGAGCGUCAUUUCAACCCUCAAGCUCUCCGGAGUUUGGUGUUGGGGCGCCUGGGGCUUUUCGACCUCAGGGCCCUCAAGUCCAUCGGCGGGACCGCCAGGACACUGAGCGCAGUAGUAUUAUUUCGCUCGGUAGGAUCUUCCACGGCGGGUCGAUCUGGCCGCUAAACCCCCCAAUUCUCACCAAAGGUUGACCUCGGAUCAGGUAGGAAUACCCGCUGAACUUAAGCAUAUCAAUAAGCGGAGGA
RNAcentral lists this unclassified non-coding RNA (357 nucleotides) under soil metagenome. RNAcentral describes it as "partial contains 5.8S ribosomal RNA, internal transcribed spacer 2, and large subunit ribosomal RNA". The stretch from base 1 to 120 matches the Rfam family "5.8S ribosomal RNA", at positions 35 to 154 of the family's 154-position model. The record is from RNAcentral.